Molecule: non-coding RNA, 23 nt
Filed under: Arabidopsis thaliana (thale cress)
Lineage: Eukaryota; Viridiplantae; Streptophyta; Magnoliopsida; Brassicales; Brassicaceae
Source: RNAcentral
ACAUGGUGAACAGAUUAUGUCUG